This 166-nucleotide unclassified non-coding RNA is filed under the name soil metagenome. RNAcentral describes it as "partial contains 5.8S ribosomal RNA, internal transcribed spacer 2, and large subunit ribosomal RNA". The record is from RNAcentral.
AACGCACGAGACCUGCGGACCUGCGGAAGGAUCAUUAGUGAACGCCCUCAUGGGCUUAUAACUAUUCCAAACCUCUGUGAACCGUGCCCUUCGGGGCUAUUUUACAAACAUGGUGUAAUGAACGUCAUAUAUCAUAACAAAACAAAACUUUUAGCAAUGGAUCUCU